AUGAACGCUGGCGGCGUGCCUAAUACAUGCAAGUCGAGCGAACAGACGAGGAGCUUGCUCCUCUGACGUUAGCGGCGGACGGGUGAGUAACACGUGGAUAACCUACCUAUAAGACUGGGAUAACUUCGGGAAACCGGAGCUAAUACCGGAUAAUAUAUUGAACCGCAUGGUUCAAUAGUGAAAGACGGUUUUGCUGUCACUUAUAGAUGGAUCCGCGCCGCAUUAGCUAGUUGGUAAGGUAACGGCUUACCAGGGCAACGAUGCGUAGCCGACCUGAGAGGGUGAUCGGCCACACUGGAACUGAGACACGGUCCAGACUCCUACGGGAGGCAGCAGUAGGGAAUCUUCCGCAAUGGGCGAAAGCCUGACGGAGCAACGCCGCGUGAGUGGUGAAGGUCUUCGGAUCGUAAAACUCUGUUAUUAGGGAAGAACAAAUGUGUAAGUAACUAUGCACGUCUUGACGGUACCUAAUCAGAAAGCCACGGCUAACUACGUG
Molecule: ribosomal RNA, 496 nt
Filed under: uncultured bacterium
Lineage: Bacteria
Description: partial 16S ribosomal RNA
Rfam family: Bacterial small subunit ribosomal RNA
Source: RNAcentral